CUGUCCUCCAUAUUAUUUAUUUAUAAAUUUAUAUUACAAAACAUUAAUAGCGACGGGGGGAGAAAAGGUCAGUCCGGAGUAUUUUGUUUCGUGUAUAUGGAUUAGGAUUUAAUUUAGGAGUUAUGAUUGCUUUACAAAUUUUAGUUGGUAUUUGUUUAUCUUGAUUUUUUUUUAGAUGUAUUAUACCUCAAAAUUGAAUUUUUACACUUUUAAUACAUUUAGAAUUUGACCUUGGUUUUAUUAUACGUAGUUUACAUAUUAUAUUUACAUCUUUAUUAUAUUUUCUUUUAUAUAUUCAUAUUAUAAAAGUUAUUUUUUUAUGUUUAAUUUUUGAUUCUAGUAUGUUAGUUUGAUUUUUUGGAUUCCUAAUAUUUAUUUUUAUUCUUAUAAUAGCCUUUAUUGGUUAUACUCUACCCUGUACUUCUAUGUCUUAUUGAGGGCUUACUGUAUUUAGCAAUAUUCUAGCUACUAUACCUUUAAUAGGAAUUUAUAUAUGUCAAUGAAUUUGAUGCUCAGAAUUCAUUAAUGAUUUUACUUUAUUAAAAUUACAUUCUAUUCAUAUAUUUUUACCUUUUGUACUAUUAUUUUUAAUAGGUGCUCAUUUUUUUGUUCUUCAUUAUUUUUUAUCUUCUGAUGGAUUACUCGAUAGAUUCCCAUUUUAUUAUGAAAGAUUUUUUUUUUUUUUAUUAUAUUAUUUACGAGACUUAUUUUUAAUUAUUAAUAUUCUGUGUUUUUUAAUUUAUUACAUAUGCAUUUAUUGAUUUUUUGUAUUUCACGAAGAAUCUUGAAUCAUAGUAGACACUUUAAAAACUUCUGAUAAAAUACUACCCUUUGUAUUUUAGAGCAGGAAAACGCCAUUUGAAUUAGAGUUUGGAGGGUUUAUUUUUAGGCAAAGAUAUGUAUAAAAAGCGAGCAAAUGUUUAUAUUGAGACAAGAUUUUAAUAGGGGGGGGCAGUUAGUGGGGUCCAAUGGAUUGUGAAACAGUUGGGGGGGAUUUUGGUUUGUUCUUUUCGUUUAGAUUAAUAUCUUUUAU
RNAcentral lists this non-coding RNA (1033 nucleotides) under Trypanoplasma borreli. Lineage: Eukaryota; Euglenozoa; Kinetoplastea; Parabodonida; Parabodonidae. The record is from RNAcentral.